AUCCAGCUGACGAGUUUCGAAUAGGCCGAAACACGCGUUCUGGAU
RNAcentral lists this non-coding RNA (45 nucleotides) under Schistosoma haematobium. The record is from RNAcentral. Lineage: Eukaryota; Metazoa; Platyhelminthes; Trematoda; Strigeidida; Schistosomatidae.